UCAAAGAAUAUUAAUCCAGAUGAAAUCCUCUUGGAGGCUAAAUUCAUGUUUACAGUUAGCUACAGUUCCUCUAUGCAAAAAUUCUGCAAGCCUUAACUUUAUGAAGCCUGGAUGGAGUGAAAAAGAAUGUAUUUUCUGAAAACAGCUAGUAGGUGGCGUGGCACACUUACAGAAGAAGAUUGAGGAUGCAAGAAAGAAAAAGAAAAGGAUCUUGGAACACACCAAGGAUUUUCUUGAUCUCUGGCUAUCGGCUGCAGGGACACCAGAAAUGGGGGCAGAAGCCUGGAAGUGAUGAAACAAUCAGAGUUCAAGUGGAGUGUCAUAUGUUUGAGUUCGCUGUGUAA
This 344-nucleotide long non-coding RNA is filed under the name Naja naja (Indian cobra). RNAcentral's name for it is "lncRNA (ENSNNAG00000003457.1)". Lineage: Eukaryota; Metazoa; Chordata; Lepidosauria; Squamata; Elapidae. The record is from RNAcentral.